Molecule: long non-coding RNA, 775 nt
Organism: Ananas comosus (pineapple)
Lineage: Eukaryota; Viridiplantae; Streptophyta; Magnoliopsida; Poales; Bromeliaceae
Exons: 2
Source: RefSeq, a predicted model, not a curated record
CUGUGGUCUUCAUCGGGAGCUUCCAUAGCUGCGCCGCCUCGUCCUCCAGCACCCCCACGAGCGGCUUCCAACCCCUCACCAACAUCCUCCCUCGCCGUGGGCAAACGCGCACCGCCUCGUCCUCCCCUGCGGCUAGAAGCCGCAGGUACCCGUCUUCUAGCCAAACCCGCAGGUGGAACCGCCUUUGAGGUUGACCUCAAAACCCUAAUCCAACCCCUUACCAACAUCCUCCCCCGUGGCCAGAAGCUCAUCUUCAAAGGUGCGUGCCACAAACCCUAGAUCGCUCAUCCUUGAUAUCUUCCCGACGGCGGUGGAUGCUCGCAGCUUGUUAGCUCGCAGCUUGUCACCCUGCACUCUACGCCCUUUGUUAGCUCGCAGCUUGUUUCACCCGUUGCCUCUCGGUCGCUAGUUCAUGUGGAUGCUUCAUUGUCUCUCAGUCAUCGCCGCAGCAGCCGUUGCCAUCCCUAUCGUAAUUUUUUGAUGUUGUUGGACGUGCUGAAGCUGGAUAGUAAUUCCUUUAUUUUUUCUGUAGUAGCUCUGCCCGUCCAUCAUAUUGAUAGUUUUCUUAGUUAAGUUGUCAAAUUGUAAACUGUUCUUAUAAUUGAAGAGUUUCUAACUGCCCCUUAUCUAGAACCAUAGAACUAUGUUGGUCUUGUGGUCACCUUGUGAGCUCUUCCAUUUAAAGGUUAUGUCAUGAAUACAUUAGACAAGCACUUUGUCAUUCUGAUUGCUAUGUCCAUUCUUCAUAUAUAAUAUCAUCCCCAAUGCUUGAUUC